Agelaius phoeniceus (red-winged blackbird) is the source of this 3023-nucleotide non-coding RNA. NCBI's taxonomy places the organism in Eukaryota, Metazoa, Chordata, Aves, Passeriformes, Icteridae. The record is from RefSeq and is a predicted model, not a curated record.
AAGGAAAGGAAAGGAAAGGAAAGGAAAGGAAAGGAAAGGAAAGGAAAGGAAAGGAAAGGAAGAAAUAAAAAGAAAGAAGAGAAAGGAAGAAAGAAAAGUGAAAAAGGAAAAGGAUGAGGGUGAAAAAGGAGGAGUGAGAGUGUAAAAGGGGGUGAAAAACAGAGUGAAAAAAAGAAAAAAGAGUUGGAGUGGAAAAGAAAGGACAUUCGGGAGGGGCGGUGCUGCCUAAGGUGCUUCCGCGCCCGGGAGCGAAGGAGCCGCUUGAUGCCCUGGCGGGACCGCAGCUCCCGGUGGCGGAAACCGGAGCGGUGGCUGUCAGUCCGAGACUACAACUCCCGGCAGGCCCUGCGGCCGUAAAGCGCGGCGUCUGACGCAACGGCCGACGCGCCGUAGGAGUGGCUGGCGGCCCGAGGCGGCCGCGCGCCGGGGGAGCGGGCUGGGCGCGGGGAGCUCCCGGCGCCUGUGCCGCGCGGGACGGAGCCGCGGCAGCGACGCUGGAGGGGCGAAGCCUCCGUCCGGCCGCCCGCACGGAGCCGAGCGGCGCGGAAGGGGCGUCCGCCCGGUGCCUCGGCCUCGCUCAGCGGUCCCGGUGGCGGGGGCUCGGCUCGGGCGGGGCGCGCUGCCGCCCGCCGAUGGCGGAGCGCCAGGCGGUGCUUUGCUGCCGCGGGCCGGGAGCUGCAGGAGCCGCCCCGGGCGAGCGGCGCCGGGCGCUGCCGCGGUCACUGUGCGGCGGCUGCCCUCGGGCUGGCGGAGGCGCGGGAGCCGCCGAGCUGCAGCGUCUCCCUCGGGCCGCUGCCGCUGCUGCGGGCGGGGGCGGACGAGCGGCUGCGGAGGCGGCUCCGCGGCGGGCUCAGCCUUGCGAGCAGAGAGCGCUCGACAUCGCUGGCAUGACACGGCUGCUGAGUGCCUCAGUGCUCGUGGCUCUUCCUUCCACGCAAACAGAUGGAGCGGCAUCGCUGAGCAGUAAAACACAGCGAUGGCCCGGAGAAUGGCGAGCGCAAGGAGCGCCGGGCUGGAUCCUUCUGAUGGCACAGGUGCGAUCGGCAAACUCAGCCCCUUGUGCCCCUGCCCUCCCGACCCCCAGGGGAAAUGCUCUCCAGCCUCGAGCUGCUGAGAGACAAAACGUGUGAUUUGACACUAGGGUCCGGAAAAGGUUUCCGUUUAGAUUAGCAAAUGCCUCAAUCGUUCUUGGUUACAUCCUAGGAUCGGUUUUAGGCAGUGACUUUAUACCGCUUGUCGGAUUUUCUUGUGCAAUGGGUACUCAGAAAAUCUGUCUCCCUUAGAGUCCCACUGAAACAUUCUCCGUGCAAUCUCCGUUAAGUGCCAGGAGCCUGGAGAAACUGGAGAAGAGCCCAAGAGACAUUUUUCAUCCUGAGAUACAAAAGGAUUUAUUGGUUCUUGAAGGGCAAGAGGUGAGUACAAGCCUGACUACUUCUAGCUCACAGACCCGUCCGGUGAAUACAGCUUUGUAUUUUGAUGGGCUUUUGAUGACUUGGAAAUCAAUUGCUCAUUACAGUCAAAAGAAUUAAUGUUUUUUUGAACAUGACAGCAAAAAUAGCUUAAAGCACCAACUUAAUAAUAAUAGAUCACCCAUUUAAGGAAAUAAUUUUAUGCUAUACUAUCAAAAUGUAAAGGUAAAUGAUUAUGUAUUAGGAGGUGGUAUGAGAUGUAUGUUCUAAUGCGUAGCAUGUAUACAAAGAUACACACACACUUGCAAGUCCUUAGAGGAAACAAAUUUUUACAUCUUCUGUUUGACUGUUUACCAUAUAAUAGUUGGUUUUAUGUCCCGGGGAUCGGUGAAUUUUAAAUUUGGAGUCCUCUGUGCUAAGGAUGGUCAGCUUACAGGUGAUGAAAUGUUCAGUCAUGGGCAGGGAAGGACUCUCGUAUCCCGGUCGUCAGACUCAGCGCUGCCCGAGAAGAUACAGAGACUGUAAAAAUCAUAAGGAGCAAAUGUGACUGCAGAGGAAACAAACUGGAGAGAACAAAAGGUGAUAUUGUUCUCCUUCCCCUGGAUUAGAAACAUCCACUGCGCUUUGAUGCCGGUGGCUGCCAGGGGCUCGUUAGGUCUCUUUAGGCAGGUGUAGGUGUUCACUUGUAGGUUUUCUCUCUGGACAAGUCAAUUCAGACUUUGCUAAGCUUAUAUUUGAAAAUUACUCUCUAGUUCAGUCCAGCAUGACAUUUUUGAAUGUUGUAAAAAAACCAUGUUACUUGGAAAUCGCCAAUGAUGAGAAGCUUUAGGGAAAAAUAAGAUUUUGGGGUCGGGAGAUAGGGGUAGAAUUUUGUGGGGGUGUUAGACUGUAAUAAAGCACACCUUAGGCUGGCCUGGCACACUGGCAGAUCCCCUAUCCAACAGGAGUGCUUAGAUUAGCCUGGGUGCUGCCCAUUGUUUCUGUAGGAAUAAAUGUUUCCUGGCCUUCAGAAGUAAGCUGCUUUGAAAACCUGGAAGCUGCAGUACAGUGACAAUCCACGUGCUUGGGAUUCAGAGGAGAUUUCAGAAGGGUGAUGGGCUUUUGUCUUUUCCUACCAGUCCAUGUAAUCCUACGGAGGAGUUUUUAAUUGCGUGCUGCCGAGUCAUCCAUCAGAGCCCUGUUGUGCCGAUCAUCGUGCAAAUACAAAACAAAAAAUCAGAGCCUGUCCCAGCCCUUAGAGCCCAGCCCAUUAUUUCCUCAGGCUGCCUCUGUGUGCCAUUGAUACUCACCACGGGAGCGCGCUGAGGGUGGCUGCAGCUGUUGGGAGCAAACUCCUUCUCGGCACACAGCAACAGAACUGGGACGACGCCUGGGCCAGCGCCUCUCUGCUCUCGUCUCCCCAAUCUCCAGCAGAGCAGCUCCGGCCCAUCCGGGUGUGCGUGACCCAGUUCCCGAUGGUCUGAACGCGCUGGGCAGCGCUCGGCUGCUGUGGGGGUUCAGGGAAGGCAGAGUGUGCAUCAUCAUCCUCCUGAACCUACAGACAAACCCAAGGGAGAAGCCAUAGGGUGGCAAUCAGUCGCAUCCAUGCUAAAUAAAACUCGCAGGUGUUUGUAA